AGCAGUUUCCCAUAUAUCAGCUUAUCUGGGCCAACAGCAGUCCUGUGCAGAAAGCAGGAAUGUUACCCUCCCUUUUCCACUGAGAAAAUUGCAGCACGUGGGAUCUUCAGUGUUCCUUGCAGCAGGCGGGAUCUUCUGCUGUGGCAUGUGGGAUCUAGUUCCCUGACCAGGGACCAAACCCCAGCGCCCUGCAGUCCGAGUCUUAGCCACUAGACCCCAGGAAGUCCCUCUUCCUGCAAUUUUCAAGCCUCUUGAAAAUUGGAACUCCUCUAGAACUCCUGCUGGAAGACACCAGGGGAAUCAUCUACUCCCAUUUUCCCAUUUUACAGAUGUUCUCAUCUGUAAAAUGAGACUCAGGCCCUAGGCCCUCGUGGCGUCCUGAUUGCCUUCCACAUUCCGUGCUCUUGGAGCCCCGCUGUGGCUGAAAGUACCCACUGCAGCACUGAUUGCACCUGUUCCUGGGGGAAAUAGCAGAGCUAGAAAGAGGGAGGUGAAGGA
This is a long non-coding RNA of Bos taurus (domestic cattle), 498 nucleotides long. The record is from Ensembl. NCBI's taxonomy places the organism in Eukaryota, Metazoa, Chordata, Mammalia, Artiodactyla, Bovidae.